RNAcentral lists this ribosomal RNA (490 nucleotides) under uncultured bacterium. Its description in RNAcentral is "partial 16S ribosomal RNA". It matches the Rfam family "Bacterial small subunit ribosomal RNA", at positions 30 to 507 of the family's 1533-position model. The record is from RNAcentral.
AUUGAACGCUGGCGGCAGGCCUAACACAUGCGAGUCGAAUGGUAACAGGAAACAGCUUGCUGUUUCGCUGACGAGUGGCGGACGGGUGAGUAGUGUCUGGGAAGCUUCCUGAUGGAGGGGGAUAACUACUGGAAACGGUAGCUAAUACCGCAUAACGUCGCAAGACCAAAGAGGGGGACCUUCGGGCCUCUUUCCAUCAGAUUUGCCCAGAUGGGAUUAGCUUGUAGGUGGGGUAACGGCUCACCUAGGCGACGAUCCCUAGCUGGUCUGAGAGGAUGACCAGCCACACUGGAACUGAGACACGGUCCAGACCCCUACGGGAGGCAGCAGUGGGGAAUAUUGCACAAUGGGCGCAAGCCUGAUGCAGCCAUGCCGCGUGUAUGAAGAAGGCCUUCGGGUUGUAAAGUACUUUCAGCGGGGAGGAAGGGAGUAAAGUUAAUACCUUUGCUCAUUGACGUUACCCGCAGAAGAAGCACCGGCUAACUCCGUG